UACGAAGGGGGCUAGCGUUGCUCGGGAUCACUGGGGGUAAAGGGUUCGUAGGCGGGUCUUUAAGUCAGGGGGGAAAUCCUGGAGCUCAACUCCAGAACUGCCUUUGAUACUGAAGAUCUUGAGUUCGGGAGAGGUGAGUGGAACUGCGAGUGUAGAGGUGAAAUUCGUAGAUAUUCGCAAGAACACCAGUGGCGAAGGCGGCUCACUGGCCCGAUACUGACGCUGAGGCACGAAAGCGUGGGGAGCAAACAGG
This 253-nucleotide ribosomal RNA is filed under the name uncultured bacterium. RNAcentral describes it as "partial 16S ribosomal RNA". It matches the Rfam family "Bacterial small subunit ribosomal RNA", at positions 524 to 776 of the family's 1533-position model. The record is from RNAcentral.